This 190-nucleotide ribosomal RNA is filed under the name uncultured bacterium. Its description in RNAcentral is "partial 16S ribosomal RNA". It matches the Rfam family "Bacterial small subunit ribosomal RNA", at positions 337 to 524 of the family's 1533-position model. The record is from RNAcentral.
UCCUACGGGAGGCAGCAGUGAGGAAUCUUGCGCAAUGGAGGCAACUCUGACGCAGCCACGCCGCGUGCUGGAAGACGGCCCUAUGGGUUGUAAACAGCUUAAGGUCGGGAAGAACCCCGGAGUUUCGACUCCGGCUGACGGUACCGAUUGAAUAAGCACCGGCUAACUCCGUGCCAGCAGCCGCGGUAAU